AAAGCAGUGCCAAAAAUGUUCCCGUCGUGUGUUGUUGGCGGUAGCCGGACGACAGUCCCACUCGUGACGCGGUGUUUUCAGCAGCAGCAGCAGUUUCGCUACGGAUUAAAAACCGCUUCGGCCGCAGCACGUUUUCUCCGUACGGGAACCUGUGUGGGACAGUUUGAUUCGUUUGGUGGCGUUCGCGACGACCGGUUCGGCAGUUUUCGAAGUUACACAUCAGCAAACACGGGAAGUUCUUGCCUGAAGAUGACCGGAGCAGCGAAGAAGUACCAGACCGUGGAACGGGGCGCACAAAAUUCCACCGACUACCGGGUGUUCUUCAAAACUGAGGAGGGCCAGUCGGUUUCACCGCUGCACGACAUUCCACUGUACGCCAACGAUGCCAAAACGGUGUACAACAUGGUGGUGGAGGUUCCCCGGUGGACCAACGCCAAGAUGGAAAUCUCCCUCGCCGAGGGGCUGAAUCCUAUCAAGCAGGACGUCAAGAAGGGCAAGCUGCGAUUCGUGGCCAACUGCUUCCCCCACCAUGGAUACAUCUGGAACUACGGAGCACUUCCGCAGACCUGGGAAAAUCCCGAUCAUCUGGACCCCAACACCGGUUGCAAGGGAGACAACGACCCGAUCGAUGCGCUGGAAAUUGGUUCCCGCAUUGCCAAGCGCGGCGAGGUCGUCCAGGUUAAGAUCCUCGGAACGGUCGCCCUGAUCGAUGAGGGCGAAACCGACUGGAAGGUCAUUACGAUCGACGUGAACGAUCCCGUCGCUGAUCAGCUGAACGACGUCAACGAUGUCGACAAGGUGUUCCCCGGUCUGCUGAAGGCCACCGUUGAAUGGUUCAAGAUUUACAAGAUUCCGGACGGCAAACCUGAGAAUCAGUUUGCCUUCAAUGGUGAGGCCAAGGAUGCCGCCUUCGCCACCAAGGUCGUCGAAGAAACUCACAAGUUCUGGCGGACGCUGAUCAACAAGGAGAUUGAAGAUACUGGCAUUUCUUGCUUGAACACUACCGUCGAAGGAUCGCCCUACCUAGUGGCUUCCGAUGCUGCUGAAGAAGUCCUAGCCAAGAGCGCCAACGGUGGAAAUUCGGAGCCCCAAUCUGAUGCCAUUGGCAAGUGGCACUUCCGCGAAGAGAAUGCUUAUUCCAAGUUGUAACCCUGCACUGCAUUAUUAUAAUCUUACGACCGUCGCACGUAGACCAUCGCAAGACCACGUGUCCAUUCCCACUGAUGAACGAUGGGGCUAUCGAACAGAAACUGCAUUUGACGACUCCACGCUUAGUGAAAAUGCUAAUUUACGUAGUAGUGUUACCGUAUUUAUUUCAUCAUGUAGUUUUUUGGUGGAUUUGGGACAGAAAUCGACAAAUGGCAUUAUAUCACAUUGAAGUAAGCUGAUCUCGUAACUGGCUAAACAUCAAAAAUUGCAUUAUCUGGAUGAUAUUACAUGAACAACAACAUAUGGCGGAAAACAUUUCAAAUACAAGCACUCGAAACUAAACCAAAAA
Molecule: RNA transcript, 1498 nt
Organism: Aedes albopictus (Asian tiger mosquito)
Lineage: Eukaryota; Metazoa; Arthropoda; Insecta; Diptera; Culicidae
Gene: Nurf-38
Gene name: inorganic pyrophosphatase
Exons: 5
Source: RefSeq, a predicted model, not a curated record